Molecule: ribosomal RNA, 441 nt
Filed under: uncultured bacterium
Lineage: Bacteria
Description: partial 16S ribosomal RNA
Rfam family: Bacterial small subunit ribosomal RNA
Source: RNAcentral
CCUACGGGAGGCAGCAGUGGGGGAUAUUGCACAAUGGAGGAAACUCUGAUGCAGCGACGCCGCGUGAGGGAAGACGGUCUUCGGAUUGUAAACCUCUGUCUUUGGGGAAGAAAAUGACGGUACCCAAAGAGGAAGCUCCGGCUAACUACGUGCCAGCAGCCGCGGUAAUACGUAGGGAGCAAGCGUUGUUCGGAAUGACUGGGCGUAAAGGGUGUGUAGGCGGUGUAGCAAGUUAGAAGUGAAAUACCUAGAGCUUAACUCAGGUGCUGCUUCUAAAACUGCUAUACUUGAGUGCAGUAGAGGAAAGUGGAAUUCCUAGUGUAGCGGUGGAAUGCGUAGAUAUUAGGAGGAACAUCAGUGGCGAAGGCGACUUUCUGGACUGUAACUGACGCUGAGGCACGAAAGUGUGGGGAGCAAACAGGAUUAGAUACCCCUGUAGUC